This is a long non-coding RNA of Misgurnus anguillicaudatus (oriental weatherfish), 1300 nucleotides long. RefSeq lists it as uncharacterized. NCBI's taxonomy places the organism in Eukaryota, Metazoa, Chordata, Actinopteri, Cypriniformes, Cobitidae. The record is from RefSeq and is a predicted model, not a curated record.
CAAUAUACCAUCUAAAGCUAAGUGUUUUAAGAACUUGCUUCAGUCACUGUACUACUGCACAUCGUAACUACUUUUGAAUGAAUAUUUUAAGCUAAUUCUGAUUUUGUUGUUUUUCAGGAAGCGCCAGGUCAGAAUGUCUGAGAAGAUCAAGUGUGCUAACACCGAUAAUGACAAGCUGGAUACAUUGGAAAGCUGGAUUUCUUUUAAUAAUGUGACCAAACCCAUUUGGCAUGUCGGACAAUACUGAACACUGAACACUAAAGAAGCAAAUGAAGAACCACAUUGAAGCAGUAGAGGGUGUCCAGCCAAUGUCAGAUCCAGCGGCUACAUGUUGGGAGCUGCUUCACUACACCGCUCAUUGCAUUAAUUAAUUUCAUUUUAUUUAAAAUUUAGUUUUAUCAUAUUAAAUAAUUGGUUUCUAUAUAUAGAUAGAUAUAGAUCUAUAGAUAUUAAAAUAUAAAAUAUUUGUUUAAUAUAAUAAUUGGUUUCUGCUGAGUCUGGUUCCUCUCAAGGUUUUUUUUAAUCUCCUUUUUGUUUUUUUCCUUGCCACUGUCGCCACAGGCUUGCUCACUGGGGGUGUUGUGCCAAAUCCUGUGUCACUCUCAUGUCUCUGCCAACUAGGGUUUUCAAAACAACAGUUUGCAAGUCGAUACAAAUAUUUAUUUAUUAAUUGAAAUUAUAAAAAUAUAAAUAACCAGGGCCCCACAAUUAAUUAUAAAUAAAAAUGUAAUCAUGUUAAAAGCCCCUCUGGUUUUCUGAAAUGACAGGACUUUACUCUUAUUACUCUUAUAAAUACCUGCGUUGUAAUAAACCAAAUCGUGAACAGUAAUAGAGUAUUUUAAAAUAUUUUUGAAAUUAACAUGCAGAAGGUUAACAAUAAUCCCAACAAAUUGUUACCGGUAUUGUCCCAAAAUAAGAACUUGUGUUAGAAUUUUUGAAAGUGAAAAAAAUUUAAGUUUUGAAAAAAAAUUAAAGCAAAAAUUAUUGUGUUAAACAAGUUAACAAAUAAGGUGGUUACUACACAUAUAGGUAUAUAAUUUUUCUCUGUGUACAUUGUAUUAUUUCAACAGUAAAGUAUUAGAAAUUGAAGAAUUUAAAGCAAAAUUAUUAUUCUGUUAAAGAAGUUAACAAAUAAGUUAGUUACCACACAUAUAUAGGUAUAUCAUUUUCUACUAGUAAAAGUAUAUUGUUGCCACUGUAAAGUAAUUGUUCCUUUUUCACAUGUAGUAAAAAUAGGUAAAAUGUAUAUUUAAAUGUGAGCUAUUACAACAUUUUAGGAUCUAGCUGUGCAUUUAGGUGG